Molecule: ribosomal RNA, 287 nt
Filed under: uncultured bacterium
Lineage: Bacteria
Description: partial 16S ribosomal RNA
Rfam family: Bacterial small subunit ribosomal RNA
Source: RNAcentral
GGAUUAGAUACCCUGGUAGUCCACGCCGUAAACGAUGGACACUAGCUGUGGGGCCUUAGGGCUCCGUGGCCAAGCGAAAGUGAUAAGUGUCCCACCUGGGGAGUACGUUCGCAAGAAUGAAACUCAAAGGAAUUGACGGGGGCCCGCACAAGCGGUGGAGCAUGUGGUUUAAUUCGAUGAUACGCGAGGAACCUUACCAGGGCUUAAAUGCAGUCUGCAUGGGACAGAGACGUCCCUUUCUUCGGACCGAUUGCAAGGUGCUGCAUGGUUGUCGUCAGCUCGUGUCG